Long non-coding RNA from Myotis daubentonii (Daubenton's bat), 2988 nucleotides. RefSeq lists it as uncharacterized. Lineage: Eukaryota; Metazoa; Chordata; Mammalia; Chiroptera; Vespertilionidae. The record is from RefSeq and is a predicted model, not a curated record. The transcript is spliced from 5 exons.
CGUUUUGUGUGUGUGUGUGUGUGUGUGUGUGCUUUCCAGUUGGAAAAAAGGAGUUGGGGGUUGUUAAAAGGAACUCCUACAACUCAACAACAGCAAAAAUCUGAUUUGAAAAUGGGCAAAGUACUUAAACAGACAUUUCUCCAAAUAUGAUAUAGAUACAAGUGACCAGCAGGCAUAUGAAGAUGGCCAACAUCACUCAGAAUGAGGGAGACGCAAAAGAAAACCACAGCGAGAUCCUCACCCCCCCCCGCCCCCCGCCCAUGAGGAUGGCUACUAUAAAAACAAACAGAGAACAAAUGCCGGUGAGGAUUUGGAGAAACUGGGAAAUUCGUGCACCGUGAAUGGGAAUGUAAAAUGGUGCAGCUGCUGUGGAAAACAGUCUGGUAGUUCCUCAAAAAGUUAAAAAUAGAACUACCAUAUGAUCCAGCAAUUCCUCUCUGGGUAUUAGCCAACAGAAUUAAAAGCAAGACCUCGAAGCGAUACUUGUUCAUAGCAGCAUUAUUCACAACAGCCAAAAGAUGGGCAAAGUGAGGAGCAGGAGGGGCAGGACUUGGCUGACGUCCAUCCUCGGCAGCAGCCUCCCGAACUGGGUCCUCACGAGGAGACUAUUAGGAAGCCUCAUGCGUACCUCCUUUGGGGACCCUAACAUUUGGUGUUGAAAACCCAGGAGGGUUCCACGGGGAAGGGGAGAGAUCGCUGGCCUCCCUCCCUUACGGCCAAGGAGGACACCAGAUCCAGGACCUCUCCCUCCCACUGCUGGGCCCCCGCUCAAUACUGGCUCGUUUCAUCUCCGGCACCACCUCUGGAGCCAAGAGACCAGAAUUCUCCUGGGACUUCUCCUGGGACUUAUCAACUCACCAAACAUUCUGAGCCUCACUGCUUUCAUUUAUAAGGAAAUGCGAACUCCCAUCCCGACUAAACUCCAACUGUUGCGAAGGCCUCUGUUUAUGUUGUGUCCAGGGUCCAAACCUAGAAUUCGAAGGACUUUGAGGUAUGAGCCAUAUUUGCUAAUCACCUAAGCAAUGGCACAAAGUGCUGGAGUUUCAAUGUAAUGAGUGAUCUUGUGCCAAUCCUGAGUCCCGGGGGUGGCGUCGGGGUCCCUGAGAGGAGCCAUGUCUGGCUCUCAGGCCCCUCCGGCCUCCGGGACUGUCCACGCCGGUCACGUUCCCCUGUUGAUCGAGGAGGAUGCGUCCAACCUCACCAGCUGGUUUCGCGUGUCUUGGACAUUCAUCUGGCGGCCGUAUGACAGUAUUCACCAUUGCUGGGAGGUAAGAUGCGUCGUUUGAGGGGAGACCGGGGAACCGCUCAUGCUACUAUGACUGUUUGGACUCAGCCUCAUGGGAAAGCAGAUGCCAGUGACUCACGUGCUUUGCCUUGUGCUGGGGUUUGGUCAGCGCUUGGGUGAGCUGGGUGAGUUUCAUGUCUGUCCCCCGAGGGCUUUUCCUCCAUUGAUUCACGCUCGCUCCUGGUGAGGACGGGGCGCCCAUCCGGGGCCCUGCAGGCCACUCGGUCCUCAGGUGGCCCUGGGAGGGAAGCACACAGGCCGCACAGACCCUGGAGCAGGGGCCCCGGUGGCCCAGCCUUCUCUCCGGAGGGAAGGGCCUGGACGUGAGCAGGUGACGUCCGUGCUGUGCUGCCCGCGCUAUCCUCCUGGCUCAGCCACAACCGGAGAACUCCCCAGGGCAGGGCCUUAGCGGCUCCCAUGAUGCUUUUCUUCUUAACCCAGCAGGAGUCAAAGAUAUAAUGCAAACCCUAGGCACUCAUCUAACGUUAAUCUCUUCCUUCUGUCAUGUUUGCAUAACGAUAAUCUGAGGAAAUUAUCCUGGAAGAAUACAUUCUCUAAUGGUAAUAUUCCCCCUGAGAAAGAUGUCAGCCAUCUGCUGUCGGCGUUCUUGUUAUUAGAAUGUCCUGCUUUGCCUGAAGAACUAGGAGGUUUGUUCUAAACUAGCAUCCCAUUUGAAGAAACGCGGCCUCGUGAUGAAAUAUGUCAUGGCCGUCCCUGCAAAAAGUUCCCUCCGACCCCUCGCUCGGAACACACACGCCAGCCGGGUCCCUGCACUGAGCUGCUGUCACCCAGACGACACGUGGGCGGGUGGGAGGUGAGGGGGAGCCGGCGUUGGACUCAGGCCGCCCCUUCCCCUCCAGAUAAGGUGACGGGCUCACGCGGGCUCUCAGCCGCUGCCACCCGCUCCCAGGCUGGCUUCCUCUGCGCUGCUCCCUGUCAGGGUCUCCCGUGCUGCCUGGUCCUCAGGCCCAGGGACAAGCCCAGCCCCUCACCGAGGACCCACGAAGCUCAGUCUCAGAAGGCGUGUGCGUGACAGGCAUUACCGAAUGGUGGGGGUGCCUGGCUCAUAGGAGGUGGACGGUAAAGAUCCGCACAAGCACUGAUCGCACAUUAGGGCGUCUUGCUCUGAGCUGUCUUCAGCCCCCACCCCUGCGGACUGCCCUGGCCCCUUCUCAGCCUCCCUGCUCGAAGGUGCCAGGGACCCGGCUGACUCCUCAGAGGGUCGCGUAUUCCUCUGCUCCUCCCGUGGCCCGAAAGGUUCCGGGUGUGUCUGUGCGGGGUCCCCUCAGCCCCACGCCCCAGUCACCAGGAGACAAGGUGGAGAAGUGUCUGGAGGGGAAGAAGGGGGUUCUCAGGGCGCACGCUGCUCCCCACUGUCCCGCUGGUCCCUUCGCGCGGCUUCUCUGCUGGAGCUGGUGCUCUGGCAGAACGGGCAGGACAGGGGUAACUUGGUGGGGAAGCCACAGACGCCUCUGCCGCCGCCUCCGCCCCACCUGGCCUCCCCCAGGGGGAGGGGGGCCGGGGGCUCUGUCCACGGCCACUGUCCACAGCUGUCCUUUCGCUGCACUCUGGGUCUGUGCUCGCUACUCAUUUUCUUGAAACUUUCUCAAAACGGAGCGACAUAUUACUUAGAGAUGGUGCAUACCGAGUAAAACGUACAAGGAAAAGCUAGGCAUGGCUGACGUGAGAGCCAAGAGGCGCUU